GGUUAAGCGACUAAGCGUACACGGUGGAUGCCCUGGCAGUCAGAGGCGAUGAAGGACGUGCUAAUCUGCGAUAAGCGUCGGUAAGGUGAUAUGAACCGUUAUAACCGGCGAUUUCCGAAUGGGGAAACCCAGUGUGUUUCGACACACUAUCAUUAACUGAAUCCAUAGGUUAAUGAGGCGAACCGGGGGAACUGAAACAUCUAAGUACCCCGAGGAAAAGAAAUCAACCGAGAUUCCCCCAGUAGCGGCGAGCGAACGGGGAGCAGCCCAGAGUCUGAAUCAGUGUGUGUGUUAGUGGAAGCGUCUGGAAAGGCGCGCGAUACAGGGUGACAGCCCCGUACACAAAAAUGCACAUGCUGUGAGCUCGAUGAGUAGGGCGGGACACGUGGUAUCCUGUCUGAAUAUGGGGGGACCAUCCUCCAAGGCUAAAUACUCCUGACUGACCGAUAGUGAACCAGUACCGUGAGGGAAAGGCGAAAAGAACCCCGGCGAGGGGAGUGAAAAAGAACCUGAAACCGUGUACGUACAAGCAGUGGGAGCCUCUUUAUGGGGUGACUGCGUACCUUUUGUAUAAUGGGUCAGCGACUUAUAUUCUGUAGCAAGGUUAACCGAAUAGGGGAGCCGAAGGGAAACCGAGUCUUAACUGGGCGUUAAGUUGCAGGGUAUAGACCCGAAACCCGGUGAUCUAGCCAUGGGCAGGUUGAAGGUUGGGUAACACUAACUGGAGGACCGAACCGACUAAUGUUGAAAAAUUAGCGGAUGACUUGUGGCUGGGGGUGAAAGGCCAAUCAAACCGGGAGAUAGCUGGUUCUCCCCGAAAGCUAUUUAGGUAGCGCCUCGUGAACUCAUCUCCGGGGGUAGAGCACUGUUUCGGCAAGGGGGUCAUCCCGACUUACCAACCCGAUGCAAACUGCGAAUACCGGAGAAUGUUAUCACGGGAGACACACGGCGGGUGCUAACGUCCGUCGUGAAGAGGGAAACAACCCAGACCGCCAGCUAAGGUCCCAAAGUCAUGGUUAAGUGGGAAACGAUGUGGGAAGGCCCAGACAGCCAGGAUGUUGGCUUAGAAGCAGCCAUCAUUUAAAGAAAGCGUAAUAGCUCACUGGUCGAGUCGGCCUGCGCGGAAGAUGUAACGGGGCUAAACCAUGCACCGAAGCUGCGGCAGCGACGCUUAUGCGUUGUUGGGUAGGGGAGCGUUCUGUAAGCCUGUGAAGGUGUGCUGUGAGGCAUGCUGGAGGUAUCAGAAGUGCGAAUGCUGACAUAAGUAACGAUAAAGCGGGUGAAAAGCCCGCUCGCCGGAAGACCAAGGGUUCCUGUCCAACGUUAAUCGGGGCAGGGUGAGUCGACCCCUAAGGCGAGGCCGAAAGGCGUAGUCGAUGGGAAACAGGUUAAUAUUCCUGUACUUGGUGUUACUGCGAAGGGGGGACGGAGAAGGCUAUGUUGGCCGGGCGACGGUUGUCCCGGUUUAAGCGUGUAGGCUGGUUUUCCAGGCAAAUCCGGAAAAUCAAGGCUGAGGCGUGAUGACGAGGCACUACGGUGCUGAAGCAACAAAUGCCCUGCUUCCAGGAAAAGCCUCUAAGCAUCAGGUAACAUCAAAUCGUACCCCAAACCGACACAGGUGGUCAGGUAGAGAAUACCAAGGCGCUUGAGAGAACUCGGGUGAAGGAACUAGGCAAAAUGGUGCCGUAACUUCGGGAGAAGGCACGCUGAUAUGUAGGUGAAGUCCCUCGCGGAUGGAGCUGAAAUCAGUCGAAGAUACCAGCUGGCUGCAACUGUUUAUUAAAAACACAGCACUGUGCAAACACGAAAGUGGACGUAUACGGUGUGACGCCUGCCCGGUGCCGGAAGGUUAAUUGAUGGGGUCAGCGCAAGCGAAGCUCUUGAUCGAAGCCCCGGUAAACGGCGGCCGUAACUAUAACGGUCCUAAGGUAGCGAAAUUCCUUGUCGGGUAAGUUCCGACCUGCACGAAUGGCGUAAUGAUGGCCAGGCUGUCUCCACCCGAGACUCAGUGAAAUUGAACUCGCUGUGAAGAUGCAGUGUACCCGCGGCAAGACGGAAAGACCCCGUGAACCUUUACUAUAGCUUGACACUGAACAUUGAGCCUUGAUGUGUAGGAUAGGUGGGAGGCUUGGAAGUGUGGACGCCAGUCUGCAUGGAGCCGACCUUGAAAUACCACCCUUUAAUGUUUGAUGUUCUAACGUUGACCCGUAAUCCGGGUUGCGGACAGUGUCUGGUGGGUAGUUUGACUGGGGCGGUCUCCUCCUAAAGAGUAACGGAGGAGCACGAAGGUUGGCUAAUCCUGGUCGGACAUCAGGAGGUUAGUGCAAUGGCAUAAGCCAGCUUGACUGCGAGCGUGACGGCGCGAGCAGGUGCGAAAGCAGGUCAUAGUGAUCCGGUGGUUCUGAAUGGAAGGGCCAUCGCUCAACGGAUAAAAGGUACUCCGGGGAUAACAGGCUGAUACCGCCCAAGAGUUCAUAUCGACGGCGGUGUUUGGCACCUCGAUGUCGGCUCAUCACAUCCUGGGGCUGAAGUAGGUCCCAAGGGUAUGGCUGUUCGCCAUUUAAAGUGGUACGCGAGCUGGGUUUAGAACGUCGUGAGACAGUUCGGUCCCUAUCUGCCGUGGGCGCUGGAGAACUGAGGGGGGCUGCUCCUAGUACGAGAGGACCGGAGUGGACGCAUCACUGGUGUUCGGGUUGUCAUGCCAAUGGCACUGCCCGGUAGCUAAAUGCGGAAGAGAUAAGUGCUGAAAGCAUCUAAGCACGAAACUUGCCCCGAGAUGAGUUCUCCCUGACUCCUUGAGAGUCCUGAAGGAACGUUGAAGACGACGACGUUGAUAGGCCGGGUGUGUAAGCGCAGCGAUGCGUUGAGCUAACCGGUACUAAUGAACCGUGAGGCUUAACCUU
This 2903-nucleotide ribosomal RNA is filed under the name Escherichia coli. Its description in RNAcentral is "23S ribosomal RNA". It matches the Rfam family "Bacterial large subunit ribosomal RNA". Lineage: Bacteria; Pseudomonadati; Pseudomonadota; Gammaproteobacteria; Enterobacterales; Enterobacteriaceae. The record is from RNAcentral.